CAACCUGCCGACAACACUGGGAUAGCCUUUCGAAAGAAAGAUUAAUACCGGAUGGCAUAGUCUUCCCGCAUGGGAUGAUUAUUAAAGAAUUUCGGUUGUCGAUGGGGAUGCGUUCCAUUAGGCAGUUGGCGGGGUAACGGCCCACCAAACCUACGAUGGAUAGGGGUUCUGAGAGGAAGGUCCCCCACAUUGGAACUGAGACACGGUCCAAACUCCUACGGGAGGCAGCAGUGAGGAAUAUUGGUCAAUGGACGAGAGUCUGAACCAGCCAAGUAGCGUGAAGGAUGACUGCCCUAUGGGUUGUAAACUUCUUUUAUACGGGAAUAAAGUUAGCCACGUGUGGCUUUUUGUAUGUACCGUAUGAAUAAGGAUCGGCUAACUCCGUGCCAGCAGCCGCGGUAAUACGGAGGAUCCGAGCGUUAUCCGGAUUUAUUGGGUUUAAAGGGAGCGUAGGCGGGUUGUUAAGUCAGUUGUGAAAGUUUGCGGCUCAACCGUAAAAUUGCAGUUGAUACUGGCGACCUUGAGUGCAACAGAGGUAGGCGGAAUUCGUGGUGUAGCGGUGAAAUGCUUAGAUAUCACGAAGAACUCCGAUUG
This 594-nucleotide ribosomal RNA is filed under the name uncultured Bacteroidota bacterium. RNAcentral's name for it is "bacterial SSU rRNA". It matches the Rfam family "Bacterial small subunit ribosomal RNA", at positions 122 to 715 of the family's 1533-position model. The record is from RNAcentral. Lineage: Bacteria; Pseudomonadati; Bacteroidota.